Molecule: long non-coding RNA, 1438 nt
Organism: Ictalurus punctatus (channel catfish)
Lineage: Eukaryota; Metazoa; Chordata; Actinopteri; Siluriformes; Ictaluridae
Source: Ensembl
GUCUUGGCCUUGCCGUUCCAGUAGUUCGUUUAUCCUUUUUAGUCAUCGAUUGUAUAACAGCAUUAAAUUAGGAUCAUCUGCUUUUAAAUGUCAUUUGUAAAAUUGCCAAAAAGCUUAUAAAAUGUUGCAUUUCUGCAGUCUGUUUUUCUGCUUAAUGAGGCAAUUCCAUCACGCUUAGCUAAUUUGCAGUCUGUCAGAAAGCCUCACUGACAGCAUGGACAAAAAUGUCGAAUAUUUGUUUGUUGAUGCCGCGGUCACACCAGGCCUCUCGUCGCGCUCCACCCCCCUGUAGCGAUACCACGGUCUUAAUGCUUUGUUUAUCACCACGAUCACCGGAAGGGGUGUGAAGUUGUCACAGUCACGGAGUAUUAUUUCUCUGUUGCUUAGGAAUCUUAUGGCAUUUCAGUAGUGUUCAUUAGGCUUACGGACGUGCAAGUUUCAUUCACGAUGAUGUAAAUUUGUAUUAAGUAAAUGUAAAUUAUGCCCAUUUUCUGUUGUGUUGAUCGUGUUGAUGCAUGUUUUUUUUUUUUUUUUAUGACAUUAUUAUUAGAAAUUGCUAAAGUUUGAAGUUUUUGAACAUAACCAACCUGAUUAUUUAUGUAAUUAGAGGGUAUUUCAAAAGUAAAAAGCUGGAAUGAAUACAAAGGGGCGAGUUUUCUUUGUAUUUCGUGGUGUUUAGCAUGUUCUAAAGUGUCCUGUGUGGGUUUCCCAUGGGUUCUCUGGUUCCCUUAGAAACUACCGAGAACAUGGCGGUGUUGUAGGUGGAUUGGUGGACUCUAAAUUGUCAUCAUAUAAAGUUCAUAUAUUCUUGGGGCAGUGGUGGCUUAGCGGUUAAGGCUCUGGGUUACUGAUCGGAAGGUCGGGGGUUCAAGACGCAGCACUGCCAAGCUGCCCCGGUUGGGAUAGGGUCCGGUUCCAGUGGGAAAAAAAAAAUAUUAUUGUUAUUAUUAGACAUAAACUAAAAUUUAACCAUGUAUGGUCAUGUAUGUAAAAUUUCGACACAUUUAAUUCUGCGAAAGUGAGUAUCACUUAGAAGAAGAAAAAAAAACAACAAUAACUGAUAAGAAAGAUGAAUUCAAACAGCUUUUCUCGUACGUGUCUUCGGGUGCUCUACGAUGUAUAAUUGUACGAUUUUAAGUCAAGGUGUCAAAUCUUCACGUUCUGAUCCACACUUGAUCACUCUGUGUUUGUAUGUGGGAUAAAAUCAAUACUGACAGAGAUUAAUUAACACACACACACCCCCCCCAUCUCUCUUGCUUUCUUCGUUUACUAUGUGAAGCUACAGAAUGUAGAAAAAGAAAACGUGGAUCAGACGAUCAGAUCAGCCACUAUCAGACAUGUGAUUAUUGAUGAUCAGAUCCAGUGCUGAUUAUUGGGGCGAUAUUGGCAUGGAAAACAAACCAAACCAUCUAAAAGCGUAAUCCCAGUUCUUUUCUCU